CCUACGGGUGGCUGCAGUGGGGAAUAUUGGACAAUGGGCGAAAGCCUGAUCCAGCCAUGCCGCGUGUGUGAAGAAGGCCUUCGGGUUGUAAAGCACUUUCAGUGGGGAAGAAAGCCUUGGGGCUAAUACCCUCGAGGAAGGACAUCACCCACAGAAGAAGCACCGGCUAACUCCGUGCCAGCAGCCGCGGUAAUACGGAGGGUGCGAGCGUUAAUCGGAAUUACUGGGCGUAAAGCGCGCGUAGGCGGUCUGAUAAGCCGGUUGUGAAAGCCCCGGGCUCAACCUGGGAACGGCAUCCGGAACUGUCAGGCUAGAGUGCAUGAGAGGAAGGUAGAAUUCCCGGUGUAGCGGUGAAAUGCGUAGAGAUCGGGAGGAAUACCAGUGGCGAAGGCGGCCUUCUGGACUGACACUGACGCUGAGGUGCGAAAGCGUGGGUAGCAAACAGGAUUAGAUACCCGUGUAGUC
RNAcentral lists this ribosomal RNA (465 nucleotides) under Vreelandella stevensii. RNAcentral describes it as "partial 16S ribosomal RNA". It matches the Rfam family "Bacterial small subunit ribosomal RNA", at positions 338 to 795 of the family's 1533-position model. The record is from RNAcentral. Lineage: Bacteria; Pseudomonadati; Pseudomonadota; Gammaproteobacteria; Oceanospirillales; Halomonadaceae.